Long non-coding RNA from Megalopta genalis, 1620 nucleotides. RefSeq lists it as uncharacterized. The record is from RefSeq and is a predicted model, not a curated record. NCBI's taxonomy places the organism in Eukaryota, Metazoa, Arthropoda, Insecta, Hymenoptera, Halictidae.
AACGAGACGGGUGCGACGGUAAAUUGCAAAAAUAAAUAUACGACGGUUUCGUGUGUUACCUUAAAUCGCUUGUCCUGGAGAACCUUCUUGAUGGCAACCAUUUCUCCCGUAUCACAGAGUUUCGCUUGGAAGACAACGCCGAAGCUGCCAUUACCGAUUACUUUUGUGUCUGUGUAGGCGACCUCUUGGGGGCGGUCUGGACCAGCACCGGGGGUAGCCACCACGGUCGUCACUUUGCUGCCAUCCUUGCCUGCAUUGUACAUCGCACCACCCAUAGAAACAAUAGAAAAGCACAACGCUACAGUACAGCGAAAGAAACAAGUUCGGGCUGAUUGAUGCGAACAGACCAGAGAACCUCGUCGUACAAACUAAGCUUUUCUGUAUCAACUAGACAACAGCAAUUCUUGGAUCCGUUUUGACCCAAUUUCUCGGAGGUUUCGCCCGGCUUCUUCAGUUUUAACCGAUCGGGUGUCGAGUUAAUGUUAUGAAUACGUGCCAAAAUACUGCCGAGGAAAAUUAUUAGGCAACGUUAGGCGUUACAAAUUUUAUAUUCUUCGGAGACAAAAUAAUUUAUUAACUUCUUGCCGCGACGACAGCUUCAUGUCAUCUCGAACGUUUCGACUCGCAGCACUCGAACGGUUUUAAUGAUUGGGAUUCCAGAGGCGUGCGCGAGUAACGCAAAUUGAUAUUCUGGUCAAUAAAUUGUUGCAUGUUUCAUUAAAUUCAUCUAAAAGUUUUGAACCGUACUUUUUGAACAACCUAAUAGUAUAUCGUACUCUUAGAUUAUUUAGAAAAAUUGGGUACUCAUAAAUUAUCUAGAAAAAUUGUGUAUUCCUAGAUUAUCUAGAAAAAUUGUGUAUUUCUAAAUUAUCUAGAAAAAUUGUGUAUUCCCAGAUUAUCUAGAAAAAUUGGGUAUUCCUAGAUUAUCUAGAAAAAUUGUGUAUUCCCAGAAUAUCUAGAAAAAUUGAGUAUUCCUAGAUUAUCUAGAAAAAUUGUGUAUUCCUAGAUUAUCUAGAAAAAUUGUGUAUUUCUAGAUUAUCUAGAAAAACUGAUAAAUAGACUGUGAAUCUGAUGCAUUUAUGACAAAAGGGGGUGCAAUUUAAAGCGCUGAUGAAAUUAAAGCGACUGAAGAGUGCUAAUACACUAGUUUCAACUACCGGAAGCCUAUUAACGGCUCGCUUCAUGAUCUACUUUCAGGAAAAGGCGCGUGUGUAGAUAAUUUAAUUAUGGGGCAGCUUCUUUCGCGGGGAGUUGUCACAGAAUAAAACUGAAAUAUUCGCGUUGCUAUUCAAUAUACUUAUAUAAAUGCGCACGGUAUCUCAUUUCUAACAGAGCAGAUUAAUAAUUAAUAAUGCUAAAUGAUGAUUAACGAUGCUAAUUAAUAAUAAAAUAAUUAGUAUAAUAAAUUAAUUAUACUAAUAUUAAAUAAAAAUUGUGAAACAUCUCCCUCGAGUUACAACGAACUCCAAAAUUAAAAAAAAAAUGUCUCGGCGGUGGUGAAACAUUUUCCAAACAACAAAGAACCGGAGUCUUUAAUUAAACUUCUAAUUUGAGGAGCUCGACAGUUCUCGCUAGAAAAGAAGAUUUUAUGUCAAAAAGUAAAAACAUUCGUCCCCGAAA